UGCGGUUUAAUCGGACUCAACGCCGGGAAACUCACCAGAUAAGACAGCUGAAUGAUAGUCGGGCUGAAGACUCUACUUGACUAGCUGAGAGGAGGUGCAUGGCCGUCGUCAGUUCGUACUGUGAAGCAUCCUGUUAAGUCAGGCAACGAGCGAGACCCACGCCAACAGUUGCCAGCUCGUCCUCCGGGAUGGUGGGGACACUGUUGGGACCGCCUCUGCUAAAGAGGAGGAAGGAAUGGGCAACGGUAGGUCAGCAUGCCCCGAAUUAUCUGGGCUACACGCGGGCUACAAUGGGUGGGACAAUGGGUAUCGACACCGAAAGGUGAAGGCAACCUCCUAAACCCAUCCGUAGUUCGGAUUGUGGGCUGCAACUCGCCCACAUGAAGCUGGAAUCUGUAGUAAUCGUGUCUCAAAAUGGCACGGUGAAUAUGUCCCUGCUCCUU
RNAcentral lists this ribosomal RNA (443 nucleotides) under uncultured Methanomicrobiales archaeon. RNAcentral's name for it is "bacterial SSU rRNA". It matches the Rfam family "Archaeal small subunit ribosomal RNA", at positions 896 to 1338 of the family's 1478-position model. Lineage: Archaea; Methanobacteriati; Methanobacteriota; Methanomicrobia; Methanomicrobiales. The record is from RNAcentral.